CCUACGGGUGGCUGCAGUGGGGGAUAUUGCACAAUGGGGGAAACCCUGAUGCAGCGACGCCGCGUGGGUGAAGAAGCGCCUCGGCGCGUAAAGCCCUGUCAGCAGGGAAGAAAAUGACGGUACCUGAAGAAGAAGCCCCGGCUAACUACGUGCCAGCAGCCGCGGUAAUACGUAGGGGGCAAGCGUUAUCCGGAUUUACUGGGUGUAAAGGGGGCGCAGACGGCGAUGCAAGCCAGGAGUGAAAGCCCGGGGCCCAACCCCGGGACUGCUCUUGGAACUGCGGGGCUAGAGUGCAGGAGGGGGAGGCGGAAUUCGUGGUGUAGCGGUGAAAUGCGGAGAUAUCAGGAGGAACACCGGUGGCGAAGGCGGCCUGCUGGACUGCAACUGACGUUGAGGCCCGAAAGCGUGGGGAGCGAACAGGAUUAGAUACCCCAGUAGUG
Molecule: ribosomal RNA, 440 nt
Filed under: uncultured bacterium
Lineage: Bacteria
Description: partial 16S ribosomal RNA
Rfam family: Bacterial small subunit ribosomal RNA
Source: RNAcentral